RNAcentral lists this long non-coding RNA (647 nucleotides) under Equus asinus (donkey). RNAcentral's name for it is "lncRNA (ENSEASG00005031990.1)". Lineage: Eukaryota; Metazoa; Chordata; Mammalia; Perissodactyla; Equidae. The record is from RNAcentral.
AAAGGAGAAAUUCCCUGGUUUCUCCUUUCCUCUCAUUCUCCAGUUUCCUGCUAGUGUUACCAAUGGACCAUACCUAGUUGGACAUCAGCUGGCAAGGGAGCUUGAAAAUAUCACUUAAAGGGAAGAUGGGAAAUGAAUCUGAGAAUAAACAGAAUAUGCCUGGUUGACUUCCACCUGGAUUCUCACUGGUCUGGACUGAAAGGCUGAGAAACCGGGAAAAGAAUGGUCAUAACUGUCAGAGACCAAUUACAGUUCCCCAUCUGAAGUUGUGCAUAAUGUUAUUGUAAGCAAAACAGGGUUUCAGAUGGCAGUUAAGAGUAGAGAAUGGAAAGUGGGGUCCCACGUUUUGUUACCUCUGACAGUGGAAAGGCAACUGAAGCUCCAAGAUUCAUGUACAAGAGGGUCUCAAAACCCUUAAAGCUAUUUGAAGCUAAUGGUUUGUACAUUCUAGUUUACAACUCUGAGAUACAAUAUCAAAUAAGCAUUGUCAACUCCUAGUGCUAUGGAAAAAACUCUUAAGUACCAUGGACAAAAACAGACAGAGCAAAGGGAAGAGGAUUGGAAGUUCCAGGGCGGUCAUAGCUGCAAUUUUAUAUAGAAUGUCCAGGUGGGGAUCUUUUGUGCUACAGCCUCAUCUGGUUUUUACU